This is a transfer RNA of Podospora anserina, 89 nucleotides long. It matches the Rfam family "tRNA". From Rfam's summary of the family: Transfer RNA (tRNA) molecules are approximately 80 nucleotides in length. Their secondary structure includes four short double-helical elements and three loops (D, anti-codon, and T loops). Further hydrogen bonds mediate the characteristic L-shaped molecular structure. tRNAs have two regions of fundamental functional importance: the anti-codon, which is responsible for specific mRNA codon recognition, and the 3' end, to which the tRNAs corresponding amino acid is attached (by aminoacyl-tRNA synthetases). tRNAs cope with the degeneracy of the genetic code in two manners: having more than one tRNA (with a specific anti-codon) for a particular amino acid; and 'wobble' base-pairing, i.e. permitting non-standard base-pairing at the 3rd anti-codon position. NCBI's taxonomy places the organism in Eukaryota, Fungi, Ascomycota, Sordariomycetes, Sordariales, Podosporaceae. The record is from Rfam.
GGGCAAUUGGUCUAGGGGUAUGAUUUUCGCUUCGCAUCCAUACAGCUGCGUCCUGUGAAAGGUCAUGGGUUCAAUUCCCAUAUUGUCCA